UACGUAGGGUGCAAGCGUUAAUCGGAAUUACUGGGCGUAAAGCGCACGUAGGUGGCGACGUAAGUCGGGUGUGAAAGCCCCGGGCUCAACCUGGGAAUUGCAUUCGAGACUGCAUUGCUGGAGUACGGAAGAGGAGGGCGGAAUUCCCGGUGUAGCGGUGAAAUGCGUAGAUAUCGGGAGGAACAUCAGUGGCGAAGGCGGCCCUCUGGUCCAGUACUGACACUCAAGUGCGAAAGCGUGGGGAGCAAACAGG
RNAcentral lists this ribosomal RNA (253 nucleotides) under uncultured bacterium. RNAcentral describes it as "partial 16S ribosomal RNA". It matches the Rfam family "Bacterial small subunit ribosomal RNA", at positions 524 to 776 of the family's 1533-position model. The record is from RNAcentral. RNAcentral also lists the same sequence under 1 other name.